UGUGAAGUCGGUUGGUUCGUUAGCUCUACAAAUCUCCUGUCGACUUCACUAUCAAUCAUGGCGCCCAUUCUUGGAUAUUGGGGUAUUAGAGGCUUGGCCCAGAACAUCCGCUACGUCCUCCACUACACAGGCACGGAGUUCGUAGACAAGCACUACACCACUGAGUGGGCGGACGACAAGGAGAACCUGGGUUUGGAGUUCCCCAACCUUCCAUACA
Hyalella azteca is the source of this 217-nucleotide long non-coding RNA. RefSeq lists it as uncharacterized. Lineage: Eukaryota; Metazoa; Arthropoda; Malacostraca; Amphipoda; Hyalellidae. The transcript has 3 exons. The record is from RefSeq and is a predicted model, not a curated record.